This 474-nucleotide ribosomal RNA is filed under the name uncultured organism. RNAcentral's name for it is "partial 16S ribosomal RNA". It matches the Rfam family "Bacterial small subunit ribosomal RNA", at positions 335 to 800 of the family's 1533-position model. The record is from RNAcentral.
ACUCCUGCGGGAGGCAGCAGUGGGGAAUUUUGGACAAUGGGCGAAAGCCUGAUCCAGCAAUGCCGCGUGUGUGAAGAAGGCCUUCGGGUUGUAAAGCACUUUUGUCCGGAAAGAAAUCCUUGGCUCUAAUACAGUCGGGGGAUGACGGUACCGGAAGAAUAAGCACCGGCUAACUACGUGCCAGCAGCCGCGGUAAUACGUAGGGUGCGAGCGUUAAUCGGAAUUACUGGGCGUAAAGCGUGCGCAGGCGGUUUGCUAAGACCGAUGUGAAAUCCCCGGGCUCAACCUGGGAACUGCAUUGGUGACUGGCAGGCUAGAGUAUGGCAGAGGGGGGUAGAAUUCCACGUGUAGCAGUGAAAUGCGUAGAGAUGUGGAGGAAUACCGAUGGCGAAGGCAGCCCCCUGGGCCAAUACUGACGCUCAUGCACGAAAGCGUGGGGAGCAAACAGGAUUAGAAACCCUUGUAGUCCCAUGA